RNAcentral lists this ribosomal RNA (308 nucleotides) under uncultured bacterium. RNAcentral's name for it is "partial 16S ribosomal RNA". It matches the Rfam family "Bacterial small subunit ribosomal RNA", at positions 505 to 808 of the family's 1533-position model. The record is from RNAcentral.
GAGACAGCAGUACCGCGGUAAUACGUAGGUGGCAAGCAUUGUCCGGAAUUAUUGGGCGUAAAGGGCUCGCAGGCGGUUUCUUAAGUCUGAUGUGAAAGCCCCCGGCUCAACCGGGGAGGGUCAUUGGAAACUGGGAAACUUGAGUGCAGAAGAGGAGAGUGGAAUUCCACGUGUAGCGGUGAAAUGCGUAGAGACGUGGAGGAACACCAGUGGCGAAGGCGACUCUCUGGUCUGUAACUGACGCUGAGGAGCGAAAGCGUGGGGAGCGAACAGGAUUAGAUACCCCGGUAGUCCCUGUCUCUUAUACA